UACGGGGGGGGCAAGCGUUGUUCGGAAUUAUUGGGCGUAAAGGGCGCGUAGGCGGCCUUGUAAGUCAAAGGUGAAAUCCCUCGGCUCAACUGAGGAACUGCCUUUGAAACUGCAAGGCUUGAGGCCGGGAGGGGGUAGCGGAAUUCCCAAUGUAGCGGUGAAAUGCGUAGAUAUUGGGAGGAACACCAGUGGCGAAGGCGGCUACCUGGACCGGUUCUGACGCUGAGGCGCGAAAGCGUGGGUAGCAAACAGG
Molecule: ribosomal RNA, 253 nt
Filed under: uncultured bacterium
Lineage: Bacteria
Description: partial 16S ribosomal RNA
Rfam family: Bacterial small subunit ribosomal RNA
Source: RNAcentral